CACUUGUCUCAUCUUUCUACCAUCAAUCAUCAACCUCUGUGAAGGAUUUGCCAUUAGUCAAUGCAAUGGCACCAUGGAUGAAUGCUCAACGUUAAUGGAGGAGGAUGAAGAGUUCUUAAUGGACACUGAAGAACAUAGGCGGAUUCUGACUGGAAAUACGAAUAUUAUUUAUAAAAGUCUACAAAAACCUCCCAUUUGCGACCCAAAACACUGUGAAGGAUUGUAUAAUGUAAGGAAAGAUAGGGGGUGUGUUAAUUACUGCAAUAAAGGAGGUUAAUGAGUGGUUCAUAUAAUCAUAUGUAUGUAUCCUUUGCUAUUAUGGAAAAGUAUUUGAAGUUUGUGGUGUAAGAUUGUGUUUCUUGUUGAUCACUAAUAGCUUUCUUAUAAUAAUCUGUUUAUGUAUUCAUUAGAUUUACUAAUUGAUGUGAAAAAAUAGAAUGAACUAAUGUGUUUAUGCAAAACUAUUUAUUCAUUUGUUUCAAUUCUAUACCUUUACUUGUGCUUUUUGCAAGAACUUGAAUUUUGCUACUUUUGUUUGGUUUUUGUGUGUGGAAGAGAUUUGCUAAUCCUCGUUUGUUCCCAAAGUAGAUGGCUUUUGAAUAUUGGUGUGAAAGAGAUUAAGACGGUGUUUGUUUUUUUUUUUUUUGUAAAAGUUCGACCUCUUAUCUUUGGGCCGCAACAGACAACGUGUAGAUGUUUGGUCCUGCAGACUGUUUAUUUUUUAGAAGACUGCGGACAUAAAAUGCCUUUUUAAAGAAAAAAAAAAAAUCUCAUGUUACCAUUACCAUACUAUCAAACCACUAUUGGUUGUAAUUUUCUUUUUCGGUUCUUUUGCCAUAUUCAUUGUAAUAUGUUUAUUUAAGAAUAAGACAAAAUUACAUAAAUGGUCUUAAUGGUUAACAAAACAACCAAUUAUAGUCCUUAUGAUGAAUUCUUUACAUAAAUGGUCCUUACGGUUUCAAAAUCUUGUAAAGAUGGUCCUUUGGGCCAACGGUGUUAACUUUUCAGUUAAGUUCUUUGUGAAAUAACAUAUUCGCC
This 1038-nucleotide long non-coding RNA is filed under the name Lactuca sativa (garden lettuce). Its description in RNAcentral is "long non-coding RNA (LSAT_LNC002669)". Lineage: Eukaryota; Viridiplantae; Streptophyta; Magnoliopsida; Asterales; Asteraceae. The record is from RNAcentral.